AAGCUCGUAGUUGAAUUUCGGGAUCAAUUUAUUGGUCGUGCAAUCGUACGUACUGGUAUUAUUGAUUCCUACCUUCUGACGAAUCAUGAUGUCAUUAAUUUGGUGUCAUGGGGAAUCAGGACUGUUACUUUGAAAAAAUUAGAGUGUUUAAAGCAGGCUCACGCUUGAAUACAUUAGCAUGGAAUAACGAAACAGGACGAUUGAUUCUAUUUUGUUGGUUUCUAGGAUCGACGUAAUGAUUAAUAGGGAUAGUUGGG
RNAcentral lists this ribosomal RNA (257 nucleotides) under uncultured Glomeromycotina. Its description in RNAcentral is "partial 18S ribosomal RNA". It matches the Rfam family "Eukaryotic small subunit ribosomal RNA", at positions 624 to 886 of the family's 1831-position model. Lineage: Eukaryota; Fungi; Glomeromycota. The record is from RNAcentral.